UUUCAUUUUGUGGAUUAGUCCUCCUGUAGGCCUUGCACAGGUGAAGAUCCUGGCUGCAUCUACUUAAUUUGACAGGCAAUGGGGAGCUCUUGAAUAUUUGUGUGCAGAAGGCUGGAGGUCACAGAUGUAUGAUAUACUUAGUAAGUGCUGGGAGCAGAAAGAAGGGAGAUCUAUCAGAAAAGAGGGAACAAGGGAAGGAGGAAACAGGAGAUCUACUCCAUUACGCUAGCAGGCGGAAGAGGACGGAGAACUGCGAUGGGAGGUCAGACGGACCACGCUCAUCCAGGGGUUUAUUGCCCAAAAUGAUGUUCAAGACCUCUCACAUCAGCAGAAGAACAAAACGGCUAUCCCCAAAUCAUGAGAAUGCAGGCCUGAUUUAUAUUAUCACAUGCCAGAUGACAUCAUAACGACCCACCUUCCCAACUCUGAUUAUAACCCA
RNAcentral lists this long non-coding RNA (439 nucleotides) under Cercocebus atys (sooty mangabey). Its description in RNAcentral is "lncRNA (ENSCATG00000045607.1)". The record is from RNAcentral. Lineage: Eukaryota; Metazoa; Chordata; Mammalia; Primates; Cercopithecidae.